Molecule: non-coding RNA, 649 nt
Organism: Equus caballus (horse)
Lineage: Eukaryota; Metazoa; Chordata; Mammalia; Perissodactyla; Equidae
Source: RefSeq, a predicted model, not a curated record
AGGAGGAGGAUGGGCAAGACUGAAGAGAAGGCAGGUCCAAGGAGGCCGAAGGGCUCAAAAGCAGCGCUCAAGUGUGUCAAGUGAGUCAGCAAGAAGAUGCUCGAGGAUCUGGAUUUGAUCACGGAGAUGCCCAGGCCAGAGUCUGACCCCAGGCCUGCUGUGAAGGCCCGAAUCAGAGGCCUCUACCCAAGAACUGUGGAGCCCGACUUUCCCAUGCGAAGUUGGUGGCUAUGAUGGCUGUGGGCUCAGUGCCCGUCCUGGUGGCUGACCCUGACCCUCUCCCUAAUCCUGGGUGCCUCGAGGGUACAGAGAGCCAGGCCCAGAACCCAGAGCCCAGACAGCUUCCCCACUAGAGCCUCUGGGUGGAGGAGAGGAAAGCGGCCCAGAGACGCCAGCAGGAAGAGAACCCAAGUGCUCUCACAACUUAACACCGCCCUGCAACCCUGCCACCUUCUUCUCCCAACAAAUCGGAUACUGAUCCUUUUUUCAAUGAAAUUUUAUUUCAAAUCCUUAGUGAACAUCUAAGAAGAAAAUAUAAAGUGCUUGGUUCUGGGGUUGGGGAAGAGGGAAAGGCCCUGAGUUCACCCCAUUUGGACUUUCCCAGUUCAAUUCCUCAGAGAUAGACAGUGUAUUUCAAAAUUAAAAAAAA